UACGUAGGGUGCAAGCGUUGUCCGGAAUUAUUGGGCGUAAAGAGCUCGUAGGCGGUCUGUCGCGUCGAUCGUGAAAACUUGGGGCUUAACCCUGAGCUUGCGGUCGAUACGGGCAUGACUGGAGUUCGGCAGGGGAGACUGGAAUUCCUGGUGUAGCGGUGAAAUGCGCAGAUAUCAGGAAGAACACCCGUGGCGAAGGCGGCUCUCUGGGACGGUACUGACGCUGAGACGCGAAAGCGUGGGGAGCGAACAGG
This 254-nucleotide ribosomal RNA is filed under the name uncultured bacterium. RNAcentral describes it as "partial 16S ribosomal RNA". It matches the Rfam family "Bacterial small subunit ribosomal RNA", at positions 524 to 776 of the family's 1533-position model. The record is from RNAcentral.